GAUGAACGCUGGCGGCGUGCCUAAUACAUGCAAGUCGAGCGAACGGACGAGAAGCUUGCUUCUCUGAUGUUAGCGGCGGACGGGUGAGUAACACGUGGAUAACCUACCUAUAAGACUGGGAUAACUUCGGGAAACCGGAGCUAAUACCGGAUAAUAUUUUGAACCGCAUGGUUCAAAAGUGAAAGACGGUCUUGCUGUCACUUAUAGAUGGAUCCGCGCUGCAUUAGCUAGUUGGUAAGGUAACGGCUUACCAAGGCAACGAUGCAUAGCCGACCUGAGAGGGUGAUCGGCCACACUGGAACUGAGACACGGUCCAGACUCCUACGGGAGGCAGCAGUAGGGAAUCUUCCGCAAUGGGCGAAAGCCUGACGGAGCAACGCCGCGUGAGUGAAGAAGGUCUUCGGAUCGUAAAACUCUGUUAUUAGGGAAGAACAUAUGUGUAAGUAACUGUGCACGUCUUGACGGUACCUAAUCAGAAAGCCACGGCUAACUACGUG
RNAcentral lists this ribosomal RNA (497 nucleotides) under uncultured bacterium. RNAcentral describes it as "partial 16S ribosomal RNA". It matches the Rfam family "Bacterial small subunit ribosomal RNA", at positions 28 to 507 of the family's 1533-position model. The record is from RNAcentral.